RNAcentral lists this microRNA (23 nucleotides) under Equus caballus (horse). RNAcentral's name for it is "eca-miR-9147". Lineage: Eukaryota; Metazoa; Chordata; Mammalia; Perissodactyla; Equidae. The record is from miRBase by way of RNAcentral.
UAGGUUUGCGCCCUCUGCUUUGG